RNAcentral lists this ribosomal RNA (584 nucleotides) under uncultured bacterium. RNAcentral describes it as "bacterial SSU rRNA". It matches the Rfam family "Bacterial small subunit ribosomal RNA", at positions 102 to 672 of the family's 1533-position model. The record is from RNAcentral.
ACGGGUGAGUAACACGUGGGCAACCUGCCCUUGAGACUGGGAUAACUUCGGGAAACCGGAGCUAAUACCGGAUAAUACAAGGAACCUCCUGGUUCCUUGUUGAAAGAUGGUUUCGGCUAUCACUUAAGGAUGGGCCCGCGGCGCAUUAGCUAGUUGGUGAGGUAACGGCUCACCAAGGCGACGAUGCGUAGCCGACCUGAGAGGGUGAUCGGCCACACUGGGACUGAGACACGGCCCAGACUCCUACGGGAGGCAGCAGUAGGGAAUCUUCCACAAUGGACGAAAGUCUGAUGGAGCAACGCCGCGUGAGUGAUGAAGGCCUUCGGGUCGUAAAGCUCUGUUGUUAGGGAAGAACAAGUGCGAGAGUAACUGCUCGCACCUUGACGGUACCUAACCAGAAAGCCACGGCUAACUACGUGCCAGCAGCCGCGGUAAUACGUAGGUGGCAAGCGUUAUCCGGAAUUAUUGGGCGUAAAGCGCGCGCAGGUGGUUUCUUAAGUCUGAUGUGAAAGCCCACGGCUCAACCGUGGAGGGUCAUUGGAAACUGGGGAACUUGAGUGCAGAAGAGGAAAGUGGAAUUCCAA